CUGAAAGGGGCCUCAGAGGGCAUCCUCCCUACUCCAUGGCCUUGCCCUUGUCUCUCCACCUCCCCGAUAGAAGGCACUAGAUCUCAAUAUAAGCCCCAGGGCAGCAAGACUGAUCUAGCUUCCCCAUUAUUCCGCUUGGGAAUAAUGCCCAAGGACCACUAGGCCUGAGUCUCACAGCUCCAGGCCUGGAAAGGAGCCUACUUGUCCCGUCACAGAUCACAACUGGGCGGGCCAGCUCUGAGCCUUUGCUAUUUGAAGGGAUGUUUUGAUAACCUCUUACCGCUCCUCCCCAACCCUGCAAAGCCCCACCUGAUCACCCCACACUCUGGGCCUCCUCUUAUCUCCUUACUCUAAGCUCCCCAUCCAUUACUGUCGGCUGGCAACACAAGUUUUAUCUGAGCCUCUGUGGAAUGGAAUUGAUUUCUGUGAAUAAUUGGAAUAGCUGGCUAGUGACCCAGUAUUGCUGCCACCAGGGUAGUUGGAGCUUCAAAGCUCUCAUCCAACUCUGCCUCUCUCUCUCCAUUCCCGUGGCUGUUGUCUGGUCCAAACCAUCCUGACCUUCUGCUUGGAUCAUGAUUACAGCUUCCUAACUGCGCUGCCUCUUUCUGAUUACCCUGCACCCCAUCAUCCACUCCAAUCUGUCCUCUACAUAGCGGCUAAAUAGAUCUUUAAAAGCUCAAACCUGCCUAGACAGUAACGCCUUUCUACCUUGGCCUGCCAUUUAGGGGUCUUUCUGAUGGAAUUCCAGCUUAACUUUCCAGCCUUACAGGGUCCAGCACAGAGGCAGGCACCCAAGAGACAUCUGUAAUGAUGUUG
This 816-nucleotide long non-coding RNA is filed under the name Homo sapiens (human). Its description in RNAcentral is "HSALNT0292020". Lineage: Eukaryota; Metazoa; Chordata; Mammalia; Primates; Hominidae. The record is from RNAcentral.